CCCUUAGAUGUUCUGGGCCGCACGCGCGAUACACUGAUGCAUUCAACGAGUUCUUCCUGGUCCGAGAGGAAUGGGUAACCUUUUGAAAGUGCAUCGUGCUAGGGAUAGACUAUUGCAAUUAUUGGUCUUCAACGAGGAAUUCCUAGUAGACGUAGUUCAUCAGACUGCAUCGAUUACGUCCCUGCCCUUUGUACACACCGCCCGUCGCUCCUACCGAUUGGAUGAUCCGGUGAGCUAUUCGGACCUGUGCAUUUUCCAUUGGAACUUGCGUGGGAAAGUCUCGCGAACCUUAUCAUCUAGAGGAAGGAGAAGUCGUAACA
Molecule: ribosomal RNA, 320 nt
Filed under: uncultured eukaryote
Lineage: Eukaryota
Description: partial 18S ribosomal RNA
Rfam family: Eukaryotic small subunit ribosomal RNA
Source: RNAcentral